GCAAAGUAUAUCAAUAUUUCGUCCCUUCAUUUGUGUUUGAAGAUUCCGGUUUUAUUAUUUUUAAUUCUAAUAAAGGCAACAUACACGUUUAAAUCAAAUUAGGACUGUUAGAUGUGAAAUUAGAUUUGGUGAAUGGUGACUAUGCUUUUUGCAUAAUUUCUAGACCAUAGAAGAAAUACUCUAGGCCAACACAAGGAUCAGACAUGGGUUCCAAAAAGGAAAGAUAAUGGGAAUCCUUUAAUGGCUGCACCAUUUCAUAUUUUUGUUUGUGCUCCAUCGGUUAUAUAUAUGUUUAACUUGAAAUCAUGUGAGGCUAUAUCUCGCAUCGAUUCCUGGUAAGCUUAAAGGACUCGAAUCAAGCCAUUCUAUACGUGUUUGCUGAUAGUUGUGAUGAUAGUGCAAUGGGAAUUUUCUGUAAAAUGUUCUUUUGCCACUGUAACAGGCACUGAUAAACCCGCCUUUGAUUCUUCUCACCAUGAAGCGCUAUUUCAUCUUCACUGUGUGCCAUCUGAGCAAAGCUUUUUAACCAUAGAUGAAGUGUCAGAAAAUUCCAAACAUAAGCAUUAUCUAAAAAAUGAAAUGAAAUAUCUAUAUAUUAUGGAUUAGCAACAAGGAGACCUAUAAUAAUAUUGCAGAAACAAAGCAAAAUUUGUGGGAGACCCAUUUUUCCCCCCCAUAUUAUAUACUAAUAGAUUGUGCAGCUUUUUCAGAAUAUAUAUAUUGUGGUAGCUAAGAUUAAAGCCAUUGAUGUUGGAAAGAUUUUG
Molecule: long non-coding RNA, 764 nt
Filed under: Gossypium barbadense (sea-island cotton)
Lineage: Eukaryota; Viridiplantae; Streptophyta; Magnoliopsida; Malvales; Malvaceae
Description: long non-coding RNA (GBAR_LNC009981)
Source: RNAcentral